UAACUGUCUUUGCGUGGUGUCCAUGCUUGGAAUCCUCCAGGGCGGAAACGCAGCAAAGGUACAAGCCUCUGGGCAGGUGCGCAAAGACAUACUUCG
This 96-nucleotide signal recognition particle RNA is filed under the name Candidatus Nutricula glyptotermitis. Its description in RNAcentral is "signal recognition particle sRNA small type". It matches the Rfam family "Bacterial small signal recognition particle RNA". Rfam says of the family: The signal recognition particle (SRP) is a universally conserved ribonucleoprotein involved in the co-translational targeting of proteins to membranes. Archaeal SRP consists of a 7S RNA and homologues of the eukaryotic SRP19 and SRP54 proteins. Lineage: Bacteria; Bacillati; Actinomycetota; Actinomycetes; Bifidobacteriales; Bifidobacteriaceae. The record is from RNAcentral.